CAGUAACACGUAGUCAAUCUAACCUAUGGACGAGGAUAACCUCGGGAAACUGAGAAUAAUACUCGAUAGAUCAUUAUGCCUGGAACGGCUUAUGGUUCAAAUGAAUUUCGCCAUAGGAUGGGACUGCGGUCUAUCAGCUUGUUGGUGAGGUAAUGGCCCACCAAGGCUAUUACAGAUACGGGCUCUGAGAGGAGAAGCCCGGAGAUGGGUACUGAGACACGGACCCAGGCCCUAUGGGGCGCAGCAGGCGAGAAAACUUUGCGAUGUGCGAAAGCACGACAAGGUUAAUCCGAGUGAUUCCUGCUAAAGGAAUCUUUUGUUAGUCAUAAUACCACUAAUGAAUAAGGGGUGGGCAAGUUCUGGUGUCAGCCGCCGCGGUAAAACCAGCACCUCAAGUGGUCAGGAUGAUUAUUGGGCCUAAAGCAUCCGUAGCCGGCUUUGUUAGUUUUCGGUUAAAUCUAUAUGCUCAACAUAUAGGCUGCCGGGAAUACUGCAAAGCUAGGGAGUGCGAGAGGUAGACGGUACUCCGUAGGAAGGGGUAAAAUCCUUUGAUCUAUGGAUGACCACCUGUGGCGAAGGCGGUCUACCAGAACACGUCCGACGGUGAGGGAUGAAAGCUGGGGGAAGCAAACCGGAUUAGAUACCCGGGUAGUCCCAGCUGUAAACUAUGCAAACUCAGUGAUGCAUUGGCUUGUGGCCAGUGCAGUGCCGCAGGGAAGCCGUUAAGUUUGCCGCCUGGGAAGUACGUACUGCAAGUAUGAAACUUAAAGGAAUUGGCGGGGGAGCACCACAAGGGGUGAAGCCUGCGGUUCAAUUGGAGUCAACGCCAGAAAUCUUACCCGGAGAGACAGCAGGAUGAAGGUCAAGCUGAAGACUUUACCAGACAAGCUGAGAAGUGGUGCAUGGCCGUCGCCAGCUCGUGCCGUGAGAUGUCCUGUUAAGUCAGGUAACGAGCGAGAUCCUUGCCUCUAGUUGCCACCAUUACUCUCAGGAGUAGUGGGGCGAAUUAGCGGGACUGCCGUAGUUAAUACGGAGGAAGGAGAGGGCCACGGCAGGUCAGUAUGCCCUGAAACUCUGGGGCCACACGCGGGCUGCAAUGGUAGUGACAAUGGGUUCCGAAUCCGAAAGGAGGAGGUAAUCCUCAAACGCUACCACAGUUAUGACUGAGGGCUACAACUCGCCCUCACGAAUAUGGAAUCCCUAGUAACUGCGUGUCAUUACCGCGCGGUG
RNAcentral lists this ribosomal RNA (1230 nucleotides) under uncultured archaeon. RNAcentral describes it as "bacterial SSU rRNA". It matches the Rfam family "Archaeal small subunit ribosomal RNA", at positions 91 to 1320 of the family's 1478-position model. The record is from RNAcentral.